Long non-coding RNA from Alnus glutinosa, 1610 nucleotides. RefSeq lists it as uncharacterized. The record is from RefSeq and is a predicted model, not a curated record. NCBI's taxonomy places the organism in Eukaryota, Viridiplantae, Streptophyta, Magnoliopsida, Fagales, Betulaceae. The transcript has 2 exons.
ACGCGACUCUCAUGCCGCGCGCAUCAAUAAAAGAGCUCACACCCAACAAUACACGCAUCAGUUUCUUCAACCUCCAGAAAUCAAGAAAGGGGAGACCGUUCAACUCCUCAUCCGACUUCUGUUUGGAUCACUGCCAUUCCGCGGCUCAUAAUCCACAGAAGAACAAAUUAUGGAUGAAGAAUCAGAGGUACCGGAGGUCAUUCUGUAGUGAUAAGAGAGGGCCUUAAGAGUUCUGUUCGAGUGUCUGUACAUGCACUCGUCGGUGAGCUUCUGAGGCCCUCUCUUCUCACUCCAGAAUGACCUCUGGCGCGCACCUCCGAGAUCUCGAUUCUUCAUCAAUGAUUUGUUGUUAUUUUGAUGUGGAUUAUCAACCGGGGAAUGGGACAGGUGGUUUGACAAGGAGUCUGAUGAAGGAAUUGAAGGGCAUUUUCGCCUUUCUUGAGUACGUCUACUUCAAAGGAAAACCGGUGGGGACACUUGCGGCUUAGCGGCUAUGAAUUUCAGCGGGGAGGCCUUGAACUACAAUAAGAGGUAUUUUCUCAACUUAUGGAGGAAGCUUCUUCUGGCUUUGAUUUCUACCCUGGUUAUGCUGAGAUUGGUUUGUCUCACCUCUGUUUUGCGGAGGCUUUUAUUAUGGAGAAUUUGAAAUAUGUUCAGUGUAUUGAAGGGGUUCUGGAUUCUUUCUCUGAUCUUUCUAGUUUUUCUUCUAAUCCAACUAAAAGUACUCUCUUCUUAUCGGGUAUUCCUGAUGAUGUAAAGACUCAAAUCAGAGGUUGUUUGAAUAUGGAGGAGGAUAAGCUGCCUGCAAGGUAAGGUUUCCUCUCAUUUCUAAAAAACUAUCUGCUGUUGAAUGUGAUAGUUUGAUUGGAGAAAUUGCUAGUCGUAUUACUUGGCUCUCUAAACACCUUUCUUUUGUGGGUCUUCUCCAGUUGAUCCAAUCUGUUCUGUUUGGGAAGCAAUCAUGCAAGUCUACUAGACUAAUAUUUUUAUUCUACCUAAGAGAGUUAUCCGAUUUAUUGAACAAAUGCUUAUUGUAUUCUUGUGGAAUGGCAAGAUAGAUGGGAUAGUUCGGGUUAAAGUCGCUUGGGAUGAUGUUUGCUUGCCUAAAGCUGCUAAGGUGGUUUGGGGUUGAGAAGGUUGGAGGAGUGGAAUAAUGCCUCUAUUUUGAGGCAUAUUUGGGCGUUGUUUGCAAAGUCAGGGUCUAUUUGGGUUGCUUGGGUGAAGUUGAACUUGCUGGAUGGUAGGCGUUUUUGGACUCUGGAGAUUUCUCAAGGUGGUUCUUGGUGUUGGAAAAAAUUGUUAAAGCUUUUGUUCUAUACCUGAGCAUUUUUUUUUUUUUUGAGAUUUAGAGUGGGGGAUAACAAUAAUAUUUUCAUGUGGCUUGACUCUUUGCAUCCAUCCGGAUGGUGUGUUGUUAGAUAAAUUUAACUUCCUGAUUGUUUGAAAUAUGUUCAGUGUUUUGGAUAUGUAUGAUCUUAUUUAUAUUCAAAGUCAGCUCUACAAGGUGGUUCUUGAAGCAAAGGAUCGAGCCAUAGAAUUGUAGUCUUUUUAUUGUAUUUGUACGCAUGAAUCAAAUGAUAUGGAUUACGCACGUCGCGUGUUUGACGCAA